This 832-nucleotide long non-coding RNA is filed under the name Sorghum bicolor (sorghum). Its description in RNAcentral is "long non-coding RNA (SBIC_LNC016043)". Lineage: Eukaryota; Viridiplantae; Streptophyta; Magnoliopsida; Poales; Poaceae. The record is from RNAcentral.
UGCCCUUGCGGAUCAUUUCCUGAUGGCGUUACCAAAUAUCAACAAGCAUUUCUGGCACCGUUGCCGGGGAGAAAGACGGUUUGCUGAGAUAACUUUAAGUCUUGCUAUUAUCUUGUAUUAUACUUUUAUUCUUUUAUCUUUUUAUUUUUUUCAUCUUUAUGGGUUACUCAAAUUCCAUACCUAUUAUUGAAUUCUUUGCACCUUAGGAGACCAGCCAUAGACCAUGGGAGUCAACAAGUCCUGUCCCUAAUUAUGAUCUGUGUCCGGAGUUGAUUGCAAUAGGUGAAAAUCAACCCUUUUCUAUAGCCGAGGUCCUAUCUUUUAAUCAAGAAGAUAAUGAAGUUUUAGCUACACCUAGGGAAUCUUUUAAUCUUUCUAUAAAUUCUGGUUUAAACCUAGCCCUACAAGACCAUGUUUUUUCUCGAUAUUUUUACAUUGGUCUUAAUCAUAUAACCUUUGGAAGAGUCUUUCUUUCUUUAUCUAUUAGUAAAGGAAGGUAUGUCUUCAUUUGUGGACAUCCUUCUUGUACUAGUCUUCAUAAAAAUUUCCUAGAGAUAGAGAAGGAAUCAUCUCCCAGACAAGGAAAGGAAGUUUCAAUAGCCGAUUUCCAAACAUUUCAAUCCCAUGAUUUGGCUAUCCAACCCAUCCUUGAGCUUUAUAAUUUCUACUCUUCUCUUGAACCUCCCGAUGAUUCUAUGAAUCUCUCUAGACAUCCCAUGCAUAAGAGUCACCAAGACCACAAGGAGGAUCGAGAAGACCAACAUCAAUGGCUAGAGGGCAUUAAAAAUCCAUGUGCUAUCACCAUUGAAUGGAUAGAUAAAACAAACUUGAG